GGCCGUAAGGAGCGGAGGGAUAACUCAAGUCACCUGUAUUGGAAAUCAGUUUGCUGAAGUUAUUCAAACAGAGUUCUUGAAGUUGAAGAAAAGGAGGUUCCACCCCGUGGCGAGAGAAGUGUGGCCCUUCUUGGAAACCCUCUGGACACACCCUCCUAAGCAUCCUCUAAGAAAGAUGCGGCAGCUCAAAGGGAAGCCCAAGAAAGAGACGUCCAAGGACAAGAAGGAGCGGAAGCAGGCCAUGCAGGAGGCCCGGCAGCAGAUCACCACGGUGGUGCUGCCCACGCUGGCCGUGGUCGUGCUGCUCAUCGUGGUGUUCGUGUACGUGGCCACACGCCCCACCAUCACGGAGUGAGCGCCGCGGCCGGCGCAGACUCUGUCGGCAGGGAGAGGAGGUGCGGGAGGGGAGCAAACAAUGGCUUUCGUAUUCAGAGAUGUUCAUGAUGCUGAGCUCUGAGCAGGAGCACCCUGUCUUCUCUGGGUUUUUACUUGAUUAAAAUUUCCCCACUUUUCUUGGGAGGGAAUAGGGAACGUUUUAUCAGUGAAUGUGCCAUACACCUAUGGUCCACUUCAUGUGCCUUUCAGACUUCAAAGCAGUGUGUUUCUUUUUCUCUCCUACAAUCAGUAAGCAGCUCCACCUGGGAGGCGGAGCCUCUGGGUCGUGCCGCAGCCGGAAUCCGUGCUCACCUCAUCCCCAUUGUUGCAACAUGGCUCUUUCCUACACGUGUUCACAAUCUCCAAAGGGACUGUAUUUCUUCUCUAUGCUUAAUGUGAUUUGAAAUAUGUUGAUUCAAAGUGAAAUAUUUAUUUUUUGAAUAAAGGAGAUGAUAAUAGCCUUAAA
This is a long non-coding RNA of Otolemur garnettii (small-eared galago), 841 nucleotides long. RefSeq lists it as uncharacterized. Lineage: Eukaryota; Metazoa; Chordata; Mammalia; Primates; Galagidae. The transcript is spliced from 4 exons. The record is from RefSeq and is a predicted model, not a curated record.